Molecule: long non-coding RNA, 1265 nt
Filed under: Homo sapiens (human)
Lineage: Eukaryota; Metazoa; Chordata; Mammalia; Primates; Hominidae
Description: HSALNT0197786
Source: RNAcentral
CGUCACCUUCCACAGGGCUGGACGGCGGCUUCCUCAGCUCCGGUGCAGGCAUCGGGGGCUCUGUGGGAGAGGUGCCAGACAAAAGGGUCCUCCAGGGGCCAGGACUGGGCAGGAGCGAGGCCCCAGCCCAGGGCCCUGCGGGUUGGGCUGGGGGAUGGCGGUUCCUGCCGCUCUGGGUCCCCUCCGUGGGAAGAGCCUCCGCCUCACUCCGUGGUCCUCACUGGGCCCUUAGCCCUGCUUGGCGGAUUUCCGCAUCUUCACUGGGCCCUGACGGGCACCAAAGCACAAGACCCCCACGAGAGUGGCGGCUGCAGUUCCCGCCGUCAGCGCCCGGUCUCCAGAGUCCAGCAGCUGGUCCCACAGCAUCACUGUGAGUGCAGGGCCGGAGCCCUCACCCCGCGCCUCCCACCACCUGCCCCUCCGCAGACUCCACACCGUGCACCCGGCCCUGCGGCUCCUGGCCUUCCUUGACCUCGCAGAUGCCCUGCUCUCUGGUCUGAGGGCUGUGAUUCCUCCCAGACGCCACCUCCUUCCAGGGAGAAUUCAGUUUCUUGUCCAUGGAGAAGCUGCUCCUGGGAAGGAGGACGCCAGGGGUCCCUUCAUCUCCUCCUCGGCCGCCUGGCAGGGCCUCCUGCGCGUCCCUGCUCCCUCCUGCCUCCACGGCUGUGAUGCAGACGCCUCCCACGUUUACCAAGUGUGCAGAACAGACUGGUGGUCUUUUUUUUAAAAUUAACUACAUUUUACUGAUCCCUGGGUGAAAGAUAAAACACAUAAGCAAAUCUCCUGUCACCUCCCUGAAAUGCAAAGCCGGCCGAUGCGUGCUCAGCAUGGACGUCCUUUCGGCCCCCGCAGUGGCCCCGGCUCCUCACUGCCCACCCCCCACAAGUUGGGGAGGUGGAGGCAGGGGCUUGGGUUGCAGCCUGUGAGGCCACAUCAGGCCUUCUCCAGCCCCCUGAGGCCACAGCUGCCCAGCCAGACAGGAAAAUCUGUCUGUGACUUUGGUCCUCACCUGGGCAGCUGGGGAUGGGACCCUCACUGGACAUCAGCUCUCCUCAGAGGUCUGCCCCCUCCCACAGUUGGCAGAGCCCUCCAUACACCUUUCAUCUCCCUGGCCACAUAUAAGGUCCAUGAGAACACAGGUUUUCUGCCUGGGAGGGAGCAGUUGUCCAGGAUGGGUUAUUAGAUGAAUGGGUGGGUGGAUAAGUGGGUGGGUGGUAGGUGUAUAGGUGAAUGCCUAGGUGGGUUGAUGGAUGGGUGGAUGGUGG